UUAAGCGACUAAGCGUACACGGUGGAUGCCCUGGCAGUCAGAGGCGAUGAAGGACGUGCUAAUCUGCGAUAAGCGUCGGUGAGGUGAUAUGAACCGUUAUAACCGGCGAUUUCCGAAUGGGGAAACCCAGUGUGUUUCGACACACUAUCAUUAACUGAAUCCAUAGGUUAAUGAGGCGAACCGGGGGAACUGAAACAUCUAAGUACCCCGAGGAAAAGAAAUCAACCGAGAUUCCCCCAGUAGCGGCGAGCGAACGGGGAGGAGCCCAGAGCCUGAAUCAGUGUGUGUGUUAGUGGAAGCGUCUGGAAAGGCGCGCGAUACAGGGUGACAGCCCCGUACACAAAAAUGCACAUACUGUGAGCUCGAUGAGUAGGGCGGGACACGUGAUAUCCUGUCUGAAUAUGGGGGGACCAUCCUCCAAGGCUAAAUACUCCUGACUGACCGAUAGUGAACCAGUACCGUGAGGGAAAGGCGAAAAGAACCCCGGCGAGGGGAGUGAAAAAGAACCUGAAACCGUGUACGUACAAGCAGUGGGAGCCUCUUAAUGGGGUGACUGCGUACCUUUUGUAUAAUGGGUCAGCGACUUAUAUUCUGUAGCAAGGUUAACCGAAUAGGGGAGCCGAAGGGAAACCGAGUCUUAACUGGGCGUUAAGUUGCAGGGUAUAGACCCGAAACCCGGUGAUCUAGCCAUGGGCAGGUUGAAGGUUGGGUAACACUAACUGGAGGACCGAACCGACUAAUGUUGAAAAAUUAGCGGAUGACUUGUGGCUGGGGGUGAAAGGCCAAUCAAACCGGGAGAUAGCUGGUUCUCCCCGAAAGCUAUUUAGGUAGCGCCUCGUGAAUUCAUCUCCGGGGGUAGAGCACUGUUUCGGCAAGGGGGUCAUCCCGACUUACCAACCCGAUGCAAACUGCGAAUACCGGAGAAUGUUAUCACGGGAGACACACGGCGGGUGCUAACGUCCGUCGUGAAGAGGGAAACAACCCAGACCGCCAGCUAAGGUCCCAAAGUCAUGGUUAAGUGGGAAACGAUGUGGGAAGGCCCAGACAGCCAGGAUGUUGGCUUAGAAGCAGCCAUCAUUUAAAGAAAGCGUAAUAGCUCACUGGUCGAGUCGGCCUGCGCGGAAGAUGUAACGGGGCUAAACCAUGCACCGAAGCUGCGGCAGCGACGCUUAUGCGUUGUUGGGUAGGGGAGCGUUCUGUAAGCCUGUGAAGGUGUGCUGUGAGACAUGCUGGAGGUAUCAGAAGUGCGAAUGCUGACAUAAGUAACGAUAAAGCGGGUGAAAAGCCCGCUCGCCGGAAGACCAAGGGUUCCUGUCCAACGUUAAUCGGGGCAGGGUGAGUCGACCCCUAAGGCGAGGCCGAAAGGCGUAGUCGAUGGGAAACAGGUUAAUAUUCCUGUACUUGGUGUUACUGCGAAGGGGGGACGGAGAAGGCUAUGUUGGCCGGGCGACGGUUGUCCCGGUUUAAGCGUGUAGGCUGGUUUUCCAGGCAAAUCCGGAAAACCAAGGCUGAGGCGUGAUGACGAGGCACUACGGUGCUGAAGCGACAAAUGCCCUGCUUCCAGGAAAAGCCUCUAAGCAUCAGGUAACAUCAAAUCGUACCCCAAACCGACACAGGUGGUCAGGUAGAGAAUACCAAGGCGCUUGAGAGAACUCGGGUGAAGGAACUAGGCAAAAUGGUGCCGUAACUUCGGGAGAAGGCACGCUGAUAUGUAGGUGAAGCGACUUGCUCGUGGAGCUGAAAUCAGUCGAAGAUACCAGCUGGCUGCAACUGUUUAUUAAAAACACAGCACUGUGCAAACACGAAAGUGGACGUAUACGGUGUGACGCCUGCCCGGUGCCGGAAGGUUAAUUGAUGGGGUUAGCGGCAACGCGAAGCUCUUGAUCGAAGCCCCGGUAAACGGCGGCCGUAACUAUAACGGUCCUAAGGUAGCGAAAUUCCUUGUCGUGUAAGUUCCGACCUGCACGAAUGGCGUAAUGAUGGCCAGGCUGUCUCCACCCGAGACUCAGUGAAAUUGAACUCGCUGUGAAGAUGCAGUGUACCCGCGGCAAGACGGAAAGACCCCGUGAACCUUUACUAUAGCUUGACACUGAACAUUGAGCCUUGAUGUGUAGGAUAGGUGGGAGGCUUUGAAGUGUGGACGCCAGUCUGCAUGGAGCCGACCUUGAAAUACCACCCUUUAAUGUUUGAUGUUCUAACGUUGGCCCCUAAUCGGGGUUGCGGACAGUGUCUGGUGGGUAGUUUGACUGGGGCGGUCUCCUCCUAAAGAGUAACGGAGGAGCACGAAGGUUGGCUAAUCCUGGUCGGACAUCAGGAGGUUAGUGCAAUGGCAUAAGCCAGCUUGACUGCGAGCGUGACGGCGCGAGCAGGUGCGAAAGCAGGUCAUAGUGAUCCGGUGGUUCUGAAUGGAAGGGCCAUCGCUCAACGGAUAAAAGGUACUCCGGGGAUAACAGGCUGAUACCGCCCAAGAGUUCAUAUCGACGGCGGUGUUUGGCACCUCGAUGUCGGCUCAUCACAUCCUGGGGCUGAAGUAGGUCCCAAGGGUAUGGCUGUUCGCCAUUUAAAGUGGUACGCGAGCUGGGUUUAGAACGUCGUGAGACAGUUCGGUCCCUAUCUGCCGUGGGCGCUGGAGAACUGAGGGGGGCUGCUCCUAGUACGAGAGGACCGGAGUGGACGCAUCACUGGUGUUCGGGUUGUCAUGCCAAUGGCACUGCCCGGUAGCUAAAUGCGGAAGAGAUAAGUGCUGAAAGCAUCUAAGCACGAAACUUGCCCCGAGAUGAGUUCUCCCUGAGACUUAGAGUCUCCUGAAGGAACGUUGAAGACGACGACGUUGAUAGGCCGGGUGUGUAAGCGCAGCGAUGCGUUGAGCUAACCGGUACUAAUGAACCGUGAGGCUUAACCUU
This 2903-nucleotide ribosomal RNA is filed under the name Escherichia coli. Its description in RNAcentral is "bacterial LSU rRNA". It matches the Rfam family "Bacterial large subunit ribosomal RNA". Lineage: Bacteria; Pseudomonadati; Pseudomonadota; Gammaproteobacteria; Enterobacterales; Enterobacteriaceae. The record is from RNAcentral.